GAUGAAGAACGUAGCGAAAUGCGAUAAGUAAUGCGAAUUGCAGAAUUUCCGUGAGUCAUCGAAUCUUUGAACGCACAUUGCGCCCACUGGUAUUCCGGUGGGCAUGCCUGUUCGAGCGUCAUUAUCCUCCCUCAAACCCCGGGUUUGGUGUUGGACCCAAGUUGUGUGAACAACUGGUCUCAAAGACAAUGACGGCGUCCGUGGGACCCUCGGUGCAACGAGCUUUUAGGAGCACGCUUCGAGUUGCAAGGACCUUCCGGGCCGGUCUCCUUUACCAUUUUACAAGGUUGACCUCGGGUCAGGUAGGAAUACCCGCUGAACUUAAGCAUAUCAAUAAGCGGAGGA
RNAcentral lists this unclassified non-coding RNA (345 nucleotides) under soil metagenome. RNAcentral's name for it is "partial contains 5.8S ribosomal RNA, internal transcribed spacer 2, and large subunit ribosomal RNA". The stretch from base 1 to 121 matches the Rfam family "5.8S ribosomal RNA", at positions 35 to 154 of the family's 154-position model. The record is from RNAcentral.